This 438-nucleotide ribosomal RNA is filed under the name uncultured bacterium. RNAcentral describes it as "partial 16S ribosomal RNA". It matches the Rfam family "Bacterial small subunit ribosomal RNA", at positions 339 to 795 of the family's 1533-position model. The record is from RNAcentral.
CUACGGGUGGCUGCAGUGAGGAAUAUUGCACAAUGGGGGGAGCCCUGAUGCAGCAACGCCGCGUGGAGGAUGACGCAUUUCGGUGUGUAAACUCCUUUUAUAUGUCAAGAAAAUGACGGUAGCAUAUGAAUAAGCACCGGCUAACUCCGUGCCAGCAGCCGCGGUAAUACGGAGGGUGCAAGCGUUACUCGGAAUCACUGGGCGUAAAGGACGCGUAGGCGGGUUGGAAAGUCAGGUGUGAAAUCCUACAGCUUAACUGUAGAACUGCACUUGAAACUUCUAAUCUAGAGUAUGGGAGGGGAGAUGGAAUUAGUGGUGUAGGGGUAAAAUCCGUAGAUAUCACUAGGAAUACCUAAAGCGAAGGCGAUCUCCUGGAACAUUACUGACGCUAAGGCGUGAAAGCGUGGGGAGCAAACAGGAUUAGAUACCCCGGUAGUC